This 501-nucleotide ribosomal RNA is filed under the name uncultured bacterium. RNAcentral's name for it is "partial 16S ribosomal RNA". It matches the Rfam family "Bacterial small subunit ribosomal RNA", at positions 30 to 523 of the family's 1533-position model. The record is from RNAcentral.
AUUGAACGCUGGCGGCAGGCUUAACACAUGCAAGUCGAGCGGGGGAAGGUAGCUUGCUACUGGACCUAGCGGCGGACGGGUGAGUAAUGAUUAGGAAUCUGCCUAUUAGUGGGGGACAACAUCUCGAAAGGGAUGCUAAUACCGCAUACGUCCUACGGGAGAAAGCAGGGGAUCUUCGGACCUUGCGCUAAUAGAUGAGCCUAAGUCGGAUUAGCUAGUUGGUGGGGUAAAGGCCUACCAAGGCGACGAUCUGUAGCGGGUCUGAGAGGAUGAUCAGCCACACUGGGACUGAGACACGGCCCAGACGCCUGCGGGAGGCAGCAGUUGGGAAUAUUGGACAAUGGGGGGAACCCUGAUCUAGCCAUGCCGCGUGUGUGAAGAAGGCCUUAUGGUUGUAAAGCACUUUAAGCGAGGAGGAGGCUACUUUAGUUAAUACCUAGAGAUAGUGGACGUUACUCGCAGAAUAAGCACCGGCUAACUCUGUGCCAGCAGCCGCAGUAA